UCGAGGAUCUUUAGCAAUGCCCGAAAGGGUGACUAUGCGACGCCGCGUGCAGGAUGAAGGCCUUCGGGUUGUAAACUGCUGUCAGUGGGGAAGAAACCACGCUAUUUAAAAGAUGGCGUGCUGACAUCACCCACAAAGGAAGCCACGGCUAACUCUGUGCCAGCAGCCGCGGUAAGACAGAGGUGGCAAGCGUUGUUCGGAUUCAUUGGGUGUAAAGGGUUCGUAGGUGGCCCGGCAAGUCUGACGUGAAAUCCCAGAGCUCAACUCUGGAACUGCGUUGGAAACUACCGGGCUUGAGUGCCGGAGAGGUAAGGGGAAUUCCAGGUGUAAGGGUGAAAUCUGUAGAUAUCUGGAGGAACACCAGUGGCGAAGGCGCCUUACUGGCCGGUACCUGACGCUG
Molecule: ribosomal RNA, 400 nt
Filed under: uncultured bacterium
Lineage: Bacteria
Description: bacterial SSU rRNA
Rfam family: Bacterial small subunit ribosomal RNA
Source: RNAcentral